UAGCAUAUCAAUAAGCGGAGGAAAAGAAACCAACAGGGAUUGCCCUAGUAACGGCGAGUGAAGCGGCAACAGCUCAAAUUUGAAAUCUGGCUCUCGGGCCCGAGUUGUAAUUUGUAGAGGAUACUUUUGAUGCGGUGCCUUCCGAGUUCCCUGGAACGGGACGCCAUAGAGGGUGAGAGCCCCGUCUGGUUGGAUGCCAAAUCUCUGUAAAGUUCCUUCGACGAGUCGAGUAGUUUGGGAAUGCUGCUCUAAAUGGGAGGUAUAUGUCUUCUAAAGCUAAAUACCGGCCAGAGACCGAUAGCGCACAAGUAGAGUGAUCGAAAGAUGAAAAGCACUUUGAAAAGAGAGUUAAAAAGUACGUGAAAUUGUUGAAAGGGAAGCGUUUAUGACCAGACUUGGGCUUGGUUAAUCAUCUGGGGUUCUCCCCAGUGCACUUUUCCAGUCCAGGCCAGCAUCAGUUUUCCCCGGGGGAUAAAGACUUCGGGAAUGUGGCUCUCUUCGGGGAGUGUUAUAGCCCGUUGUGUAAUACCCUGGGGGGGACUGAGGUUCGCGCAUCUGCAAGGAUGCUGGCGUAAUGGUCAUCAACGACCCGUCUUGAAACACGGACCAAGGAGUCGUCUUCGUAUGCGAGUGUUCGGGUGUCAAACCCCUACGCGUAAUGAAAGUGAACGCAGGUGAGAGCUUCGGCGCAUCAUCGACCGAUCCUGAUGUUCUCGGAUGGAUUUGAGUAAGAGCAUACGGGGCCGGACCCGAAAGAAGGUGAACUAUGCCUGUAUAGGGUGAAGCCAGAGGAAACUCUGGUGGAGGCUCGCAGCGGUUCUGACGUGCAAAUCGAUCGUCAAAUAUGGGCAUGGGGGCGAAAGACUAAUCGAACCUUCUAGUAGCUGGUUUCCGCCGAA
RNAcentral lists this ribosomal RNA (899 nucleotides) under Fusarium annulatum. RNAcentral's name for it is "LSU rRNA". It matches the Rfam family "Eukaryotic large subunit ribosomal RNA", at positions 36 to 965 of the family's 3401-position model. The record is from RNAcentral. Lineage: Eukaryota; Fungi; Ascomycota; Sordariomycetes; Hypocreales; Nectriaceae.